UUCGGUGGUUUUGGCGGUGGGGAAACGCCCGGUCCCUUUCCGAACCCGGAAGCUAAGCCCACCAGCGCCGAUGGUACUGCACCCGCCAGGGUGUGGGAGAGUAGGACACCGCCGAAC
RNAcentral lists this ribosomal RNA (117 nucleotides) under Amycolatopsis pithecellobii. Lineage: Bacteria; Bacillati; Actinomycetota; Actinomycetes; Pseudonocardiales; Pseudonocardiaceae. The record is from RNAcentral.